Parus major (Great Tit) is the source of this 2865-nucleotide long non-coding RNA. RefSeq lists it as uncharacterized. The record is from RefSeq and is a predicted model, not a curated record. NCBI's taxonomy places the organism in Eukaryota, Metazoa, Chordata, Aves, Passeriformes, Paridae. The transcript has 3 exons.
CCAUUGUGGAGCUUUCCCGUACAAGGAUUAACCAUCACAAGCGGUGCAGUGCAGCUCUGGCAACCUCCCUGGAAAACACGCAUCCUGAAUAAUGAUGACUGCUGAAAGCAGGACAGAAAAUCCACCCGUCUGCUCCUUAAAUCAGCACUGGUGACCAGCACCUCAGACAAAGAGCAGUGCUGGGUAGCACCCCCAUUCCCACAGCCUGCCCCCCCGGCAAACCUGGCUUGUUCUCUACAGAUGCUCCCAUCAAAGCACACAGGGAAGAGUACUCCAAAGAAUUUUUACCCUUCCUUCGUCACCACUCUGCUUGGAUGCCUUUGUAGUGAUGGGAGAAAACAUCUAUCUGAUGCCAAAGAACAUCCUGCGGUUGGAAAAUCACAGGCGUGUCUGCAACCCUCCAGAGGAGACAGAGUGAUUCAGAGGCCCUCAGAUGGUGAUGGAAAGCAGAGAACCAGACUUCAGGUGUAAACUGGAGAGAACUUUGCUGCCAGCGAGACGUCCUUUGAGGUGGUUGCAGCUCAAAAGAGUUGAAAUGAGAAGAGCCAGAGUUUGACUAGAAGCCAAAAAAAGACCAGCUGAGGUCAGUUAACCUACCACGCUGCAUGUGGGAGAUCUAUGAUCGGGAACCGUCGCUGCCUGCUCUGAAAUAGCGUAAUUGAAGGGAUACAGUCUUCAAAGGUAUCCUUGCCUGAAUGGCAGCUUCUAGGGCUUGCUAGGCACUGCUGAUGGAGGAUUCAGAAAAAUGCUGCAACUGGUGAGAGAAAUCAUGCUACUCGUGUAACAAACUAGCGCUCAGGGAGGGAGUCCUUGUGGAGGGAUAGAAAAAGUAUAGAGAGGCAGACCAAGAUGCUCAAAAGUAUGAAAGCAGCACCUGAAUAGAGUUGGACUUCUCAUCCUGUCAGUGAUGGAGUGCCAUGACAGAGACAAAAAAUCGUGGGUCUAAGCUGCUUGGUGACUUGAAGGUGACUUCCAGUUUUUUUAUUAUUCUUAGCUGAUAUUCAGAUACCCAAAAACUUGAGGAAAUCUUCUGUACUUUUACCCACUGCUUUCUUGAUAUGUCUCAGACACAGGUGAGAGUACUUAUUUUGCAGACAUUUAUAAAAUCAUGUGAGAAGGAGAUGCAGGAAGCAGACAUAUUCAAAGCUAAAUGGAUAAUGGAGCUUGGAAUAACAACCAUUCAAAAGGCCCAAUACGUUCAUCAUCACCUCUCCAUUCUGAAGAGAAUGUCAAAGUAGUGAUAUUUCAGUAGUCUGCUAAUAAUAAAAACAAGCAGAGAAAACUGUAGCUAUUGGAAGACAAAAUUAAAUGUGAAUAAACAAUUUCUUUUACUUUCUUGGAAAUUAUCCCCUCUGUCUUCUCAUUGCUUUCAUCAGAAAUGUGCACUCACACCUAGCCACAAUUUCCUUCCCCCAAAUCCUAAAUGAGAAAGCCCACAAUGGGUGAUGAAGACAUUGCAAUUGCUAGCCUAGCUGCACAAUAUAUUAUCUAAUGUCAAAAUUCUUGUUCAACAUGGCAUGCAAUUCCUGUUCAGCAAGGGCACAGAGUUGAUAAAUUUCUGACUUUUCCCUGACUUCUUAGACCUUUUGCGUAACUGCGCAUUUCACAAAUCUGUAACUCUACCAGAAAAAUUUGGUGCCCUGAGGUCAAGAUUCAGUUGAGUUCUGUCAUCAUUGAUGCCUGCUCUCGAUUCUGGGUUUGGCAAGCUGGCUAACCUGCAUUUAAUGAAGGUGAUCUGUGAGAACUCCAGAUCUGAAGACAUAAGCAAAAAAUUCACAGACCUGAAGCUAGAUCAUUUGAAGGCAAAUCUUAGCAUUAUAAAUAUGUGCCAGUAGCUUCCUCCAGAGGUUUUGGAAAUUAGAUAGAAAUUUCCACUGAAAAUUUCAGCUGCUUUGCAAUGGUUACUGCUGUGGCUAACCAGGUUUGGAAUAGGUCUGCUGACUGGAUUUUGUUGAUCCCUUGAGCAAUAAAUCUUGCAGUAGAAAGAAGAGAGCAGAAGGUUUCUAAUAGAAUUUCCACCUAGAAAAUUUCAUUUUAGACAUGCUCAUCUAUGGAGAACCUGAUCUUUCAAACAGCCUACUCCCUGAUACCUUCCAUCGUAUUUGAUGGCACCAAGCACUACAUGUGGUCAAGGAGGCACAGAUUCCUUCACAUCAGAAGGAGAGAGCACCAGGCAAAAUCCUCCUCUAAAAGCAGUCAUGCAACUUAGGGGCAAAAUUCAGCCCUUAAGAACUGAUGAUCCAGAUGAAGUUAUUAUUUCAGUACUAUUGUUACUGGUCUGGUGUUAGUGAAGCAAUGUCACUUCUCUGAACAAAAUGACUCAGCACCUUCCAGAAGAAAGAACUCUGGCGCUGACCUCUGCCUGUCCUUGACAUACCAGGGUUGUCAUGGUGCCUCAAAGGACCUAAGGAAAAGCAACAAGAACUCCUAAAUAAUUUGGCAGGAAGGAAAAUGCCCUCUUGUCAGAAAGUUUCCCUUAGCCCUGUAUAGAACAAGAUCUAUCUAUCUGACAAACAGUUAACUUCUAGUUUAGGAGAUAAAGACAGUCUCAUAUUUAUGAAAAUUCUUUUAAAAAUAAAGCAGUUUAUGUUUCCAGUGCAGGGAUAGUCAGAGAAAGUAUGUUACUUAUGAGACAUAUUUGGCCCAGCUCCCACCCUUGGAGUAUGAUAAUCAGAUCUGGAUGAAUAUACAUGGACUUUUCUCUUCUGGGAGUGCUGGACCACAUCAUGCUGAAAUGGCAACAGCUGGAAAUAUAUUUGAUGUUCAUCAAGUUUAUUUGAAUGCUCUUUCUUACCUUGGCAACAGUAUCAAGGUUCCUUGUAAAUCCUUCCAAAUGCAGUUUCUUCUGUGGUUUUGUGGUUUCUU